CGUGGGGCGGAAACGACACUAACAAUCCUUCGGGUGCGUUAAUGGGCGUCGAGCGGCGGACGGGUGAGUAAUGCCUAGGAAAUUGCCUUGAUGUGGGGGAUAACCAUUGGAAACGAUGGCUAAUACCGCAUAAUGCCUACGGGCCAAAGAGGGGGAUCUUCGGACCUCUCGCGUCAAGAUAUGCCUAGGUGGGAUUAGCUAGUUGGUGAGGUAAUGGCUCACCAAGGCGACGAUCCCUAGCUGGUCUGAGAGGAUGAUCAGCCACACUGGAACUGAGACACGGUCCAGACUCCUACGGGAGGCAGCAGUGGGGAAUAUUGCACAAUGGGCGAAAGCCUGAUGCAGCCAUGCCGCGUGUAUGAAGAAAGCCUUCGGGUUGUAAAGUACUUUCAGUUGUGAGGAAGGGGUAACG
This 412-nucleotide ribosomal RNA is filed under the name uncultured Vibrio sp. RNAcentral describes it as "bacterial SSU rRNA". It matches the Rfam family "Bacterial small subunit ribosomal RNA", at positions 39 to 458 of the family's 1533-position model. The record is from RNAcentral. Lineage: Bacteria; Pseudomonadati; Pseudomonadota; Gammaproteobacteria; Vibrionales; Vibrionaceae.